UGGGGAAUCUUGCGCAAUGGGGGGAACCCUGACGCAGCGACGCCGCGUGCGGGACGGAGGCCUUCGGGUCGUAAACCGCUUUCAGCAGGGAAGAGUCAAGACUGUACCUGCAGAAGAAGCCCCGGCUAACUACGUGCCAGCAGCCGCGGUAAUACGUAGGGGGCGAGCGUUAUCCGGAUUCAUUGGGCGUAAAGCGCGCGUAGGCGGCCCGGCAGGCCGGGGGUCGAAGCGGGGGGCUCAACCCCCCGAAGCCCCGGAACCUCCGCGGCUUGGGUCCGGUAGGGGAGGGUGGAACACCCGGUGUAGCGGUGGAAUGCGCAGAUAUCGGGUGGAACACCGGUGGCGAAGGCGGCCCUCUGGGCCGAGACCGACGCUGAGGCGCGAAAGCUGGGGGAGCGAACAGG
This 404-nucleotide ribosomal RNA is filed under the name bacterium. RNAcentral describes it as "partial 16S ribosomal RNA". It matches the Rfam family "Bacterial small subunit ribosomal RNA", at positions 355 to 776 of the family's 1533-position model. The record is from RNAcentral.